GUCCCGAUGCCGUGGCCGUUGCGGAUGCCGCUCCUGGCGACAUCGAAGCGGCCUUCGCGGCCGCCGAUGUGCAGAUCCUCAACCAGGACG
RNAcentral lists this transfer RNA (90 nucleotides) under Mycobacterium stomatepiae. Its description in RNAcentral is "tRNA-Arg". Lineage: Bacteria; Bacillati; Actinomycetota; Actinomycetes; Mycobacteriales; Mycobacteriaceae. The record is from RNAcentral.